ACUCCUACGGGAGGCAGCAGUGGGGAAUAUUGCACAAUGGGCGCAAGCCUGAUGCAGCCAUGCCGCGUGUGUGAAGAAGGCCUUCGGGUUGUAAAGCACUUUCAGUUGUGAGGAAGGUGGUGUCGUUAAUAGCGGCAUCAUUUGACGUUAGCAACAGAAGAAGCACCGGCUAACUCCGUGCCAGCAGCCGCGGUAAUACGGAGGGUGCGAGCGUUAAUCGGAAUUACUGGGCGUAAAGCGCAUGCAGGUGGUUUGUUAAGUCAGAUGUGAAAGCCCGGGGCUCAACCUCGGAACUGCAUUUGAAACUGGCAGACUAGAGUACUGUAGAGGGGGGUAGAAUUUCAGGUGUAGCGGUGAAAUGCGUAGAGAUCUGAAGGAAUACCGGUGGCGAAGGCGGCCCCCUGGACAGAUACUGACACUCAGAUGCGAAAGCGUGGGGAGCAAACAGGAUUAGAUACCCUGGU
This 464-nucleotide ribosomal RNA is filed under the name uncultured bacterium. RNAcentral's name for it is "bacterial SSU rRNA". It matches the Rfam family "Bacterial small subunit ribosomal RNA", at positions 335 to 791 of the family's 1533-position model. The record is from RNAcentral.